UCGUGCCAAGCCAAGAACUCCACGGUGCGCGGGAGGCAUGUCGUGCUUCCCUCGGGGGCCCAUUCUUCUUUGCCACAAGGCUGGCAGAUGCGGGGAUCUGGAAGGAAGGAGCCAGAUCCACCCCGCCGAGCCUGAGUUCUGACUCUCCGGGCACCACGGAUAUUAAAAGGAAACAGUGUGUCCCCCUGGUGUCUGAGCUGAGUCCAUAGCUCCUGCCCUCGAAUGGGGCAGCGCACUGGCUUCCUCCCGAGGCAGACAUGCCAGUUUCUACCAUUAAUCCAAACCAGCCAGGUGCUGACUUCUUGACGCAAGGAAGGGACAUCAUACAAACGGAACAGCAUCUCUUUGGACAAAGAGGUUGCAUUUAGGUCGAGAUUCAUCUGUGGAAGCUGGGGGGGUGGGGGUGGGGGUGCUCUGACAGAGGAUACACCUAGGACUAACACUUCCAGGUGAACAAUCAGAAUUCAGCAUAGUGGCAAGUGUCCUCCAGCCUGUGUCCAACUGGCAGGCAGGCCAGUGAGCUGGAGUCCUGGUUUGUAGAGGAAGUUUCUGUCCUGGGGGGCGUUUGGCCCCAAAUAAACACACAGAGGCUUCUAGUAACUAUAAACUGUUUGGCCAAUAGCUUAGGCUUCUUAUUGCCUUGCUCUCUCUUAAUUAUUAACCCAUUUCUAUUCAUCUUAGUAUUUCCACGUGGUCUUAUCUUACCGGGGAAGGGUCCAGACCUGUUCCUCCUUCCUCUGCUACAUGGUGUCUCCUCACAGCUUCCCCCUGCCUCCUCUCCCAGGAAUUCUCCUCAGUCUCGUAGCCCUCCCUCUACUCCCUGACCGGCUACUGGCCUAUCAGUGUUUUACUCAUCAACUAAUAAGAGAAAGGCAUACACAGCAGGCCGUCCCCCAUCACUGGCUUUGAGUCCCUUGGGUGCUGGCUCACUCACGCACUCACUGCUCACUCACUGCUCUUGUUGAGAAAGGUCCCAGCCUCACAGGGAAUGCAUUCGAAGCAACAAUGGUGAGAGCCCACCACCACUCUGUGGUACCCGUCAAGACAGUCUUCGACACACACAGACGUGGGUACCUGUAAGAAGCCACGGUGGUUCCCAGUCACACAGAGGAGCCCUGGCCAAGGGACAGCUCACACGAGGUGCAGGAAAGAGAUCUCUGCACCUCAGCCCUCCAGGUUCACGCUCAGAGCAGGGCCCCGGAGGUGGCUGUUUGAUAACACAUGGAGCCCGUCCCUGGCAGACCUGAGCAGAGGGAAGGUGGCCUGACAUCUGUCACCUCCUCCCUGCACUGGGCAGGCGUCACUCCCCAGACUCCUGGGAGCAUACAGCCGUCUUUGGUAACAACCAUGUCCCCGUUACCUGAUUGGUUUUCCCAGACCACUGGAUUUUCGUCUUGUUUAUGUCUAGCUGAACUGGAGACCUUGUAGCAGAGCCAAUGACCCGAAAGCUCCAUUCAGGCCCAUUCCAUUCCCAGGAGAUGAUGUUAUAGUCACCCAGAGGGUCCCCGUUGUCAUCGAAUGCCAUCGUAUCCUUAUGUAGAAGGAAAUUCACCUUGUAGAUCUGCUGCAGAAGCUGCAACAGACAAAUGUCAUGAAGCCUCCAUAGACCACACAGACCCAGGCAGCCCUGGAAGCAAGCAGGGGCUCUCUCGAGUUUCUGCUGUGAGUAGUCCCAACCCACCUCUAAGGCCCGGUUUCUUCCUCAGCAAUCUGUUCCCUUCUAGGAAUCCCCUUGACCCGACCCCCUCCUGAGAGACCUCUAAUAAAGAACUCUUUUGCA
Long non-coding RNA from Mesocricetus auratus (golden hamster), 1780 nucleotides. RefSeq lists it as uncharacterized. The record is from RefSeq and is a predicted model, not a curated record. The transcript is spliced from 2 exons. NCBI's taxonomy places the organism in Eukaryota, Metazoa, Chordata, Mammalia, Rodentia, Cricetidae.